UGCCAGUAGUCAUAUGCUUGUCUCAAAGAUUAAGCCAUGCAUGUCUAAGUACACACUCUAGUAAAGUGAAACCGCGAAUGGCUCAUUAAAUCAGCUAUGGUUUAUUAGAUCGUGCAAUCCUAUUUGGAUAACUGUGGUAAUUCUAGAGCUAAUACAUGCAACUGGCCCUGACUUUACGAAGGGGCGCUUUUAUUAGAUCAAAAUCAAUCAGGAGCAAUCCUGUUUUUGUGAUGACUCUGGAUAACUUCAUGCCGACCGUAUGGCCUUGUGCCGACGGCGUAUCUUUCAAAUGUCUGCCCUAUCAACUUUCGAUGGUAGGUGAUAUGCCUACCAUGGUUGUAACGGGUAACGGAGAAUCAGGGUUCGAUUCCGGAGAGGGAGCCUGAGAAACGGCUACCACAUCCAAGGAAGGCAGCAGGCGCGCAAAUUACCCACUCCCGGCACGGGGAGGUAGUGACGAAAAAUAACAAUGCUGGGCUUCAAGUCCGGUAAUUGGAAUGAGUACACUUUAAAUCCUUUAACGAGGAUCUAGUGGAGGGCAAGUCUGGUGCCGGCAGCCGCGGUAAUUCCAGCUCCAAUAGCGUAUAUUAAAGUUGUUGCAGUUAAAAAGCUCGUAGUUGGACCGAGGGGGGGCCGGGAGACGAUCGCAAGAUCGGACCACGGAACCCUGUUUUGGGGAAGCUGUCAGUAGACAACCGUCCCCGGGUUACUGUGAAGAAAUUAGAGUGUUUAAAGCAGGCGAUCGCUUGGAUACAUUAGCAUGGAAUAAUAACUUAGGACUUCGGUUCUAUUUUGUUGGUUUCUAGGACUGAAGUAAUGAUUGAUAGGGAUAGUUGGGGGUGCUAGUAUUCAGCGGCCAGAGGUGAAAUUCUCGGAUUCGCUGAAGACUAACUUAUGCGAAAGCAUUCACCAAGGAUGUCUUCUUUAAUCAAGAACGAAAGUUGGGGGAUCGAAGACGAUCAGAUACCGCCGUAGUCUCAACCAUAAACUAUGCCGACUAGGGAUGAGUGAACGUUGCAUAAUCGACUUCAUUCGCACCUUAUGAGAAAUCAAAGUCCUUGGGUUCCGGGGGGAGUAUGGUCGCAAGGCUGAAACUUAAAGGAAUUGACGGAAGGGCACCACCAGGAGUGGAGCCUGCGGCUUAAUUUGACUCAACACGGG
Molecule: ribosomal RNA, 1161 nt
Filed under: uncultured eukaryote
Lineage: Eukaryota
Description: bacterial SSU rRNA
Rfam family: Eukaryotic small subunit ribosomal RNA
Source: RNAcentral